Molecule: non-coding RNA, 86 nt
Organism: Aspergillus egyptiacus
Lineage: Eukaryota; Fungi; Ascomycota; Eurotiomycetes; Eurotiales; Aspergillaceae
Source: the annotation of a GenBank genome assembly
GCGCCAGUAGCGCAGUGGUUAACGCGUUGCACUCGUACUAAAUUAAGGACAUGCAAAGAUCGGGAGUUCGACUCUCCUCUGGCGCA